This 490-nucleotide ribosomal RNA is filed under the name uncultured bacterium. RNAcentral's name for it is "partial 16S ribosomal RNA". It matches the Rfam family "Bacterial small subunit ribosomal RNA", at positions 30 to 507 of the family's 1533-position model. The record is from RNAcentral.
AUUGAACGCUGGCGGCAUGCCUUACACAUGCAAGUCGAACGGCAGCAUGAUCUAUCUUGCUAGAUUGAUGGCGAGUGGCGAACGGGUGAGUAAUACAUCGGAACGUGCCCUGGAGAGGGGGAUAACUAGUCGAAAGAUUAGCUAAUACCGCAUACGACCUGAGGGUGAAAGUGGGGGACCGCAAGGCCUCAUGCUAUAGGAGCGGCCGAUGUCUGAUUAGCUAGUUGGUGAGGUAAAGGCUCACCAAGGCGACGAUCAGUAGCUGGUCUGAGAGGACGAUCAGCCACACUGGGACUGAGACACGGCCCAGACUCCUACGGGAGGCAGCAGUGGGGAAUUUUGGACAAUGGGCGAAAGCCUGAUCCAGCAAUGCCGCGUGUGUGAAGAAGGCCUUCGGGUUGUAAAGCACUUUUGUCCGGAAAGAAAUGGAUCUGGUUAAUACCUGGGGUCGAUGACGGUACCGGAAGAAUAAGGACCGGCUAACUACGUG